RNAcentral lists this ribosomal RNA (252 nucleotides) under uncultured bacterium. RNAcentral's name for it is "partial 16S ribosomal RNA". It matches the Rfam family "Bacterial small subunit ribosomal RNA", at positions 524 to 775 of the family's 1533-position model. The record is from RNAcentral.
UACGAAGGGGGCUAGCGUUGUUCGGAAUUACUAGGCGUAAAGCGCACGUAGGCGGAUAUUUAAGUCAGGGGUGAAAUCCCAGAGCUCAACUCUGGAACUGCCUUUGAUACUGGGUAUCUUGAGUAUGGAAGAGGUAAGUGGAAUUGCGAGUGUAGAGGUGAAAUUCGUAGAUAUUCGCAGGAACACCAGUGGCGAAGGCGGCUUACUGGUCCAUAACUGACGCUGAGGUGCGAAAGCGUGGGGAGCAACAGG